UGUGCUAAUACCGCAUAAUCUCUCAGGAGAAAAGCAGGGGAUCGCAAGACCUUGCGCUUUAGGAGCGGCCGAUGCCUGAUUAGCUUGUUGGUAAGGUAAAAGCUUACCAAGGCUUCGAUCAGUAGCUGGUCUGAGAGGACGACCGGCCACACCGGGACUGAGACACGGCCCAGACUCCUACGGGAGGCAGCAGUGGGGAAUUUUGGACAAUGGGGGAAACCCUGAUCCAGCCAUGCCGCGUGAGUGAAGAAGGCCUUCGGGUUGUAAAGCUCUUUCAGCCGGAACGAAACGGU
RNAcentral lists this ribosomal RNA (293 nucleotides) under uncultured Pseudomonadota bacterium. Its description in RNAcentral is "uncultured proteobacterium partial 16S ribosomal RNA". It matches the Rfam family "Bacterial small subunit ribosomal RNA", at positions 159 to 454 of the family's 1533-position model. Lineage: Bacteria; Pseudomonadati; Pseudomonadota. The record is from RNAcentral.